CCUACGGGGGGCUGCAGUGGGGAAUAUUGGACAAUGGGCGAAAGCCUGAUCCAGCCAUGCCGCGUGUGUGAAGAAGGCCUUCGGGUUGUAAAGCACUUUCAGUGGGGAAGAAAGCCUUGGGGCUAAUACCCUCGAGGAAGGACAUCACCCACAGAAGAAGCACCGGCUAACUCCGUGCCAGCAGCCGCGGUAAUACGGAGGGUGCGAGCGUUAAUCGGAAUUACUGGGCGUAAAGCGCGCGUAGGCGGUCUGAUAAGCCGGUUGUGAAAGCCCCGGGCUCAACCUGGGAACGGCAUCCGGAACUGUCAGGCUAGAGUGCAGGAGAGGAAGGUAGAAUUCCCGGUGUAGCGGUGAAAUGCGUAGAGAUCGGGAGGAAUACCAGUGGCGAAGGCGGCCUUCUGGACUGACACUGACGCUGAGGUGCGAAAGCGUGGGUAGCAAACAGGAUUAGAUACCCUAGUAGU
RNAcentral lists this ribosomal RNA (464 nucleotides) under Vreelandella stevensii. RNAcentral describes it as "partial 16S ribosomal RNA". It matches the Rfam family "Bacterial small subunit ribosomal RNA", at positions 338 to 794 of the family's 1533-position model. The record is from RNAcentral. Lineage: Bacteria; Pseudomonadati; Pseudomonadota; Gammaproteobacteria; Oceanospirillales; Halomonadaceae.